AAACCAUUUAGGGGUUAAGCCCGAUGAACCCGAAUAUCUGAAAUGAGAAAUUCAAUACUAUUUUAUUAUAACUGAUAAUAAGGUUAUAUAAUAUAAAUGGUGUGCACUUUUCUCAUUAGUAAGACAUUGCAAUCCAUUGGUUUUAAAAUUGUAAAUUUAUCAUAAGGCCAAUAUGAAUUGUUCAUUAUUUUAUAUAUUAUUUUAUAUAUAGAUAAUAAUGAAUUCUGUUGUGACCAGAUAAAUAGCCGAUGGUUUUUAAAAAUCAUAUUUACAUUUUAUAUGUGGCACAGUUAUAUUUUAUUUAAAUAUAAUGUAGUGUUGAUAUGUAUUUGAUUAGCAAUGCGUAUGAUUUGGGAUACCUUCGGGACCCGUCUUGAAACACGGACCAAGGAGUCUAACAUGUGCGCAAGUCAUUAGGAUUAUUAAUUUAUUAUUAAUACCUAAAGGCAUAAUUAACGUAACUGUAUAUUUAUAUAUAUGGGAUUACAAAUAAUUUUAUAUAAUUAUUUUUUCAUCUCAGGGCGUUUUAUAUUGAACAUGUUUAUCAUUUUUAAUGUUUGACCUCUGUUCAAAAGCGUACCUUGAGCGUACAUGCUGU
RNAcentral lists this ribosomal RNA (598 nucleotides) under Coboldia fuscipes. Its description in RNAcentral is "eukaryotic LSU rRNA". The record is from RNAcentral. Lineage: Eukaryota; Metazoa; Arthropoda; Insecta; Diptera; Scatopsidae.